Molecule: ribosomal RNA, 253 nt
Filed under: uncultured bacterium
Lineage: Bacteria
Description: partial 16S ribosomal RNA
Rfam family: Bacterial small subunit ribosomal RNA
Source: RNAcentral
UACGUAGGGUGCGAGCGUUGUCCGGAAUUAUUGGGCGUAAAGAGCUCGUAGGCGGUGUGUCGCGUCGUCCGUGAAAACUUGGGGCUCAACCCCAAGCUUGCGGGCGAUACGGGCAGACUUGAGUACUGCAGGGGAGACUGGAAUUCCUGGUGUAGCGGUGAAAUGCGCAGAUAUCAGGAGGAACACCGGUGGCGAAGGCGGGUCUCUGGGCAGUAACUGACGCUGAGGAGCGAAAGCGUGGGUAGCAAACAGG